AGCCACCAUGUGGUUGCUGGGAUUUGAACUCCGGACCUUCGGAAGAGCAGUCGGGUGCUCUUAACCACUGAGCCAUCUCACCAGCCCCAACCUCUCCCCCUUAAGGAAGAGAAAUGUAUUCUCUAAAGAAAGUUAAAACAGUUUAGACUUGGUUGUAGAAUACUUUGGAAAAGUAGCAUUUGAAUAAGAAAAGAAGAUCUGCUAAAGUAAAGUAGGCAAAGGGAAAGAGGUGUAAGAGAGAGGAGAGAGAGGCAGAGUCAGCCCUGCUGACCGCAGCGGGGAGGGAUCCAUAAGAACCUUGUAUUUAACCUUGUGAACAUGGGCUCCUCCUCCCCUUUCUGCAUAUUUGGUCAGCAAUCUCACAACCCCGUCCUUUUGAGUUGUGAGUCUAAAUUACAGGGGCAACUGUGGACAUACAGCUUUAAACACAUUUCAGACGAACUUGUACUUUGUUUACAGUGGCUGCACUAAUAAUUCCUUUGCAUUCACUACUUUUUGCAGUCUUGAUUGAAGGAAAGUAAUUAGUUUUGUUUUGCAUACAAUCAAAUGACAGUACAAUUGAUAUGUUUGUUCAAUUAAUGGUACUUCUAGAACUUUUACCAAGUUAAUUUUACUGGGGCUAACAUUUUCAAAGUAAUUUGAAUUUUUUAAGUCAAAUUAAGUAUCAUGGGUUUAUAUCAGUGGAAUCACUUCAUAGCUGCAUGGCACCUUCUAUACCAGUUACUAUGAAAAGAUACACAGUGAUAAAUUGCCCAGAUGCAAGAUUUAUUAAAAAUUAUUUUUUUAUGGGUGAAAGUUUUUUGUUUUUUGUUUUUUUUUUUUUUUAAUUCACGUACCUUAUUUUGGUUGUCAGUUGAUAGGCAUUUGGGCAGUGUAUUGGUUUGUUAACUUAUUUAUUACGCUAUGCAAUCCAGUCUGGUUUUAGAUUUACUGUUUUCCUGCUGUUGCUAAUAAUUCUGCUGUGUCCCCUUUUUCUUGCUUAUUUUUAGGGUGGGCGUCAUGGUGUAUGUUUUGUGUGGGUAUGUAAGUCGAAAUAAGGUGUUGGUUUAUGGUAUGAUAUUUAAAAUUCUUAGUUGUACCUACAUAUGAUGGUGCAACACAACACACCUUUAACCACAGUAGGAGGAUCUCUGCUCUAUUUACUGAGUUCUACAGUUAUACCUGCCUGAAAGCACUGCUUGUAAAGGACAGGGCAAGAAAGUGUGUGCUGGUUUACAUGGAAUACUGCAGCAAGAACCAGAGCUCCAAACUGCAUUAGUCAUUUUCCGAGUUUUAUUCUGGUAUGCUCAAACCUUAGUCCCUAGGAAGACAGACCGCCCAGUGGUCUUCUUACCUUGUGACUGCUGUAUAAUUCCUCAUCAACGAAUGUCUGUCAUGGCUGUGCAGAACAAAGUUGAGGAAGUUCAACUACAGGCAUUUAUAGCACAAGGUUUUGCAGGUAGCAGUGUAGCUGCUGAUAGACAGCUAAGGUAGGUUAGUCAUAUGUCUGUGGCCCUAGGCCGUAGUGGAAGCCAAGGAUUGUGAAUUGAAGGCUAGCCUGGAUUAUAUAGUGAGACCUUGUUUAACUCCCUCCUCCACC
Molecule: long non-coding RNA, 1579 nt
Filed under: Mus musculus (house mouse)
Lineage: Eukaryota; Metazoa; Chordata; Mammalia; Rodentia; Muridae
Description: long non-coding RNA chr13:44812344-44813923
Source: RNAcentral